This 245-nucleotide ribosomal RNA is filed under the name uncultured Ferruginibacter sp. RNAcentral's name for it is "partial 16S ribosomal RNA". It matches the Rfam family "Bacterial small subunit ribosomal RNA", at positions 524 to 768 of the family's 1533-position model. The record is from RNAcentral. Lineage: Bacteria; Pseudomonadati; Bacteroidota; Chitinophagia; Chitinophagales; Chitinophagaceae.
UACGGAGGGUGCAAGCGUUAUCCGGAUUUACUGGGUUUAAAGGGUGCGCAGGCGGAUAUGUAAGUCAGUGGUGAAAUCUCUAGGCUUAACCUGGAAAUUGCCGUUGAUACUAUAUAUCUUGAAUGCUGUGGAGGUAAGCAGAAUAUGUCAUGUAGCGGUGAAAUGCUUAGAUAUGACAUAGAAUACCUAUUGCGAAGGCAGCUUACUACGCAGAUAUUGACGCUCAUGCACGAAAGCGUGGGGAU